GAUGAAGAACGUAGCGAAAUGCGAUAAGUAAUGUGAAUUGCAGAAUUCAGUGAAUCAUCGAAUCUUUGAACGCACAUUGCGCCCGCUAGUAUUCUGGCGGGCAUGCCUGUCCGAGCGUCAUUUCAACCCUCAAGCCCCCGGGCUUGGUGUUGGGGAUCGGCGAGCCUCCGCGCCCGCCGUCCCCUAAAUCUAGUGGCGGUCUCGCUGUAGCUUCCUCUGCGUAGUAGCACACCUCGCACUGGGAAACAGCGCGGCCACGCCGUUAAACCCCCAACUUCUGAACGUUUGACCUCGGAUCAGGUAGGAAUACCCGCUGUACUUAAGCAUAUCAAUAAGCGGAGGA
This 343-nucleotide unclassified non-coding RNA is filed under the name soil metagenome. RNAcentral describes it as "partial contains 5.8S ribosomal RNA, internal transcribed spacer 2, and large subunit ribosomal RNA". The stretch from base 1 to 120 matches the Rfam family "5.8S ribosomal RNA", at positions 35 to 154 of the family's 154-position model. The record is from RNAcentral.